Molecule: ribosomal RNA, 160 nt
Filed under: Reseda collina
Lineage: Eukaryota; Viridiplantae; Streptophyta; Magnoliopsida; Brassicales; Resedaceae
Also listed under: 2 other names
Description: 5.8S ribosomal RNA
Rfam family: 5.8S ribosomal RNA
About the family: 5.8S ribosomal RNA (5.8S rRNA) is a component of the large subunit of the eukaryotic ribosome. It is transcribed by RNA polymerase I as part of the 45S precursor that also contains 18S and 28S rRNA. Functionally, it is thought that 5.8S rRNA may be involved in ribosome translocation.
Source: RNAcentral
CGACUCUCGGCAACGGAUAUCUCGGCUCUCGCAUCGAUGAAGAACGUAGCGAAAUGCGAUACUUGGUGUGAAUUGCAGAAUCCCGUGAACCAUCGAGUCUUUGAACGCAAGUUGCGCCCGAAGCCGUCAGGCCAAGGGCACGUCUGCCUGGGUGUCACGC